RNAcentral lists this long non-coding RNA (492 nucleotides) under Setaria viridis. RNAcentral describes it as "long non-coding RNA (SVIR_LNC010834)". Lineage: Eukaryota; Viridiplantae; Streptophyta; Magnoliopsida; Poales; Poaceae. The record is from RNAcentral.
GAUAUGGAUAGAAGAAGGUUCCUUUCCUGAUUGGGCAUCAAAGAAAUUCGAGGUGUUUAUAUGGUUUCUAGAUGGAUCAUCUUCGAAUUGGAAAGGGAACUUCGAGGGUUGAAUUUCUUCUCCUUCCGAUGUUCCUGGUUCGGGUGAGGGUUCUAUGGCUGAAUCUAAGGAUGUGGAAGGUGAAGGAUCUAGAAAAUCCUCAUGGCUCGACCUAAGCUCUUCUCGGAGGGGUUCAGAUUCGACUACAAAGGAGGUAUUCUUGGUGAUACGAUCUAAGAUUUUCCUACCUUCAGCUAGAAUCUUAUGAAGAGAUGUCCCUCCAAUGAUGGCAUUGAGAUAAUAGGCAGAAUGCUUAUCAAAACCCUUAUAGAAGGUGUGAAGCAACAAGGGAUCGAUUAUCAAUAGGGCGUGAUGCGAUUUCACUAAAGCGAGAAUCUAGCCCAAGCUGCGCCUAUGGGUUCUUUCUUAUUUUGCUUAAAGAAUGCAAUAGAG